AAACUUUGGAUUUAGAAACCAUUUAUGGACUCCAACUACUUGAAUUUAAUGCACGGAAACUUUCCACCUUUUAAUCUGGACUUUUCACCUAGCUUCCUUUACUCCAAGAAACUAUUGGUUUAGCCUCUCAUCCUCUGGGAAAACAUCCUCAGAGGGUGUUUGGCUUCCAAGAAAAUAGAAAAUAGUAGAGAGAAAAAGAAAGCAAAAGAGAUCUCUGUAUUUCACUAAGUAACAAAUUUACAUAAGUUGGUGUCCUGGAGAAAGCUCCC
Molecule: long non-coding RNA, 269 nt
Filed under: Vitis vinifera (wine grape)
Lineage: Eukaryota; Viridiplantae; Streptophyta; Magnoliopsida; Vitales; Vitaceae
Description: long non-coding RNA (VVIN_LNC000485)
Source: RNAcentral